Molecule: non-coding RNA, 23 nt
Filed under: Arabidopsis thaliana (thale cress)
Lineage: Eukaryota; Viridiplantae; Streptophyta; Magnoliopsida; Brassicales; Brassicaceae
Also listed under: 4 other names
Source: RNAcentral
UUCUGCCCAGUGCUCUGAAUGUC